RNAcentral lists this long non-coding RNA (2209 nucleotides) under Malus domestica (apple). RNAcentral's name for it is "long non-coding RNA (MDOM_LNC008516)". Lineage: Eukaryota; Viridiplantae; Streptophyta; Magnoliopsida; Rosales; Rosaceae. The record is from RNAcentral.
UUUAAGGGCAGAUAUACAACCAAAAAUAGAGAAAAUAUCUUAUUUGACCUUUCAAUAAUAAAUAGUUAUAACUAUCACAGCCCGUCCCGAAUUAUUGUUAUCGAUGGCGUGAAAUGACUAGUUUACCCUUGGACGUCGAGUAUGUUAUGUGGUGUUGUGGCUUGAGUUUGGGUUUUAAACUAAAUUAGUUAGUUCCUAAGUUUUUGGAACUUAAAGUUAGUGGUUUUGGUUGUGAUUAGUGACCUAAAACUGGACCACACACUCACACACACAUCCAAACUCCCGUUGACCUUUCUCUCUCCUCCUUAUCUCGGAUUUUCUUCCAUUUCCGUACAACCGUACGAACAACCUUCAACCUUCACUUCCAGUCACGGAUCGAGGGUGUAGUUGACAUCUUUGAACUCCUAGCAAGCUCAAGAGUUGUUCUAUACUUUUGGUUGGACGUAAAACCCUUGAAAACCCGAGAACCCAAGAACCUCGAUUUUGUGUACUGUUCAUGCACUCAUGAUUUUGAAGUUUUCAUGGAGUUUUAAAGUUAUUGGAAGCCUUAAAAUAUCUUCACGAAGCGCAGAGAAGAAAAACGAAGUGAAUUGGACAUUGGGAAGUUGAGUUUGACAAGUUUCAAAUUUUGGCCGGAUUAUCAAGGGUUCUCCGGCGAGAUUUCGUGGAUUUCAAGGCUUGAAAGUGGUAAGGUUUUGUUCUUCUAGUCCUAAGCUUCAAUUUGGUUCAAAUUUCAUGAAUUUUGGUGAAGAAAUGAAGAAGAUAUUGAAGUUUUAAAUUUUCCUAGUUUCCCACGAUCGCAGCGGUGGCCGGCGCCGGACUCCAGCGAACCAAGGAAGAAGGAGAAGAAUAUUCCGUCAAAGUUGAUGGAAUAUUCUGACGAUGUCAGGUAACUUUAACGACAUAUUCUGAUUUUUAACAGAAUAUUCCCUAAUGCCGUUAGGGAAUUCGUUUAGUGUGCCAAGCAUGUGCUUGCGUAUGAGUCGCGCAUCUGGCCGUGCCUUGGCCGGCGCGUGAGGGCACGUGGGGUCAUGGAACUUUUUCUAAAAAUAUGGGGAUGUUCCUGAGGUUGAGUAGAUCAUGGUGGUAUAUUCAAAUACCCCAUUUGAGCUUUAUAUGAGAAGUUAUUUCCUAGUUUUGUGUAUGUGCUUUAAAUAACGUUUAUUCAGUUAUUUCACAUAUAGGUGAGACCUAUCUUGAGGACGAGCACCAUCAAUCGAGGCUCGGGGGCUACGACCCUUCGACAUAUCAGUGAGUGGGCUUUUGGUUUUCCGUAUAUACCUAUAUACUUGAGAUUUUUCCUAGAAAAUGAAUUUGAAUGAUUAUACGUUUUGAAAUGCCAUGCAAAGUAUCUGCCUAUUUUAUUUAUGCAUUAGUAGUUGCAUAUAUUUAUGAUUGGUGUUGCGGAUGCACAGGUAAGUGCCAGGUAAGUUCGUAAAUUAAGGAUAUGAGGUUACUUCAGUUAUGUAAGAUAUGUUAUGAUGUAUUGAGAGCUCAUAAACCUACAUCCCGGUGUUAGUGCUCCCGCCCAGAUUUAGAGCACAGUCAUUCACGUGAUGUUCACCUCCCACACCAUAUGCUCACCUUGGAUCCAAGUUAGGUGCACAGGCUUGUCGUACAUACCACUUUAGGUGGUUCCGACUCGUAGGUGACCCACGAUUAUUUGCACAAUCUUCACGUGAUCGUAACACUAGAGCAUAUUUAUUUUACACCUAGUCUUGUCGUACAGACCACUUUAGGUGGUUCCGACUUUUGUGCAGGAUUUGAUUUGAUUUGAUAUGAUUGAGAUUGGUUAUGAGCUAUAGAUUCAGCCAUGCAGGUCACAUAGGCAAAUUUGGUUGAUUGAUAUCUGGCAUUGAUACUGUGACAACCCGUCCCAAAUCUUACGUUUUUACAAAAUUGAAAAGUGUGAUUUUACGAAAAUGCCUUUAGAGGCGAGGGUCUGACAUCCGUUGACCAACGUAUAGCAAGGUGUAUAAACUUGAAGGAUGAUUUGUGAAAACAUGUUCAUUUAAGCAACAUCAAUAAGCAUGCAAUUAACAAUUAAAAGCGGAAUCAUGCUUGCAUGCACUUAAAACAAAACAUUAACCAUGAAAUUCAAAGCCUAGUAGAUUGGUGAACCAAAACUCAACUCAAAACAAAGUGAGUUGAAAUUUAUACCUUUGUAGAUUCCUCUUUGCAUAAGCAAAGGCUAAUCACCCAAAGAGAG